UCCUGCUCCUCCUCCGACACACCGUGUACAAUAUCCUCGGACAUUGUUUUCAACGAUUCCUCUAUUCUCAGAAAAUUAUCCCCCAGGUGUAACGUCUCCCGCGGAGUCGUAGCCGCGCCAUACCGCCCGCGUAUUCGUAUUCCGUUUGAAAUUUUUCCAGAAAACAUCGCGACGAGGUAUUAAAAAAGACAUCCUUCACUCACCUGAUCCCACCUCUGGUCGUGUCGUAGUUCAGGGUCCUGUUGCCGUGCAACCAUUGGACAACACUGUACUGCAUCUGCAUUGCGAUGUGACGUACGACGCAUAAAAGUUCGAUCGUACUGUCAGCUUCGUAGUAUUUGUCCCUCAACGGUUGCCCCAUACCGUCGACUAUCUGUACCGACGGUGCUGUAAAAAAAAAGAGAAGCAAAAAAUAAAAAUAAAAAAUAUAGAUGACAAAAAAAAAAGAAUGGAAAAAGAGUAAAACGAAAGAAUAAAAUGAACGACAAACUAGAUAUACCGUACGCUACUAUAGUGGAAAAGUGAGUGUCAACUGUAUCAAACUGCAGUGGUAAUACGAGCUAGCGUAGCCUGGUCAGCGAGAAUGCAAUUUAAAAUGAGUGCGGUGGAACGUGAGAGGCGGAUCAGAUCCAUUAUUUAGUGGGUACCUAAAGCAGCUAUGUAAACUCCCCAUCACGAAGCUCAUAGCCAACCGAGAAGGAUCCUGGAUCGGGAUCACCGCGUAAACCAUCCUAUCCCUGAUGUUCCCGAGGAUUAUACGGUCUGUAUAUACAGGUGCGGCUGCGGCCCUUUUUUUCCUUCCCUCCAUUUUUUAUUUCCUCCCUUUUCUCUUUUUUCCUACUGAUAACUCUGGCGAACCAUCGUUCGGGAGAGUGGAUUGGCAUGAAACUACGGCUGCAGCUAUAUAAAAAAAAAAAAAAAAACAGAAAAAAAAAACACGGAGGGAAAAAGAGAGCCGCGUACCCGGCCGGAGGAGAUGUGGGAGAAUGAAAAUUCCGGGGUUUCGCUACUGAGAAUUUUUCACAUUCAACCCCAUGGCGACGAUACGGCAUUCCAACGAAUAUAACCGCCGAUACGUCACGCGAUAGCGUCUUCAUUUCACCUCUAAAGAAGCGACGGUUUUCGAAUUUUAUUCCCGUCUUUCAAAUUUAAAAAAUUCAUUAAUUCUCUAUUUUAAGAUUAAAAAAAAAGAAUCAGAUGUGGUAGAAAACAAGUCUGCAUAGAAAAUCAAGUACGUUUGACUGUGCGAUGUAUCUUGGCAUUUUUUGUUGCAACUGUUUCGCGUAAACCUAUACCGUGUAGUCUACGUCUGAGAAGUUCUGCGAUCUCAUUAACGAAUUAUACACGAUGUUUAGUUGUCUGGAAAAUGUGUUUGCGAAGCGAUAUUGUUACAUACAAGAUUACAAGAGAAUCGCAACGUUGUCGUCUCAGCCUGCGAAAUGUAUAGUGAGAUACGACGUGCAUGCCCACCCACUAAAAUACAUACAACGCAUCGCGAUUACUUCUGAUCUGUUCAUGUUCCAUGGUAAAUUUUCAAUUAGACUAAUUGCUAGAUUUUUCAAAUCUUCGUUUCAUCCGUAGAGGAAAGAGCCGUGAGGGUGAGUGAAAUUAUUUCCCGCGAGUUCAAUAAAUACCCGCGAAAGAGACGGAGAAAAAAAAAAAGUAGAAUUUCUUUUCUUGCACCGGAAGAGAAAGAGAGCUAGAAAGAGAUGGAGAUUUGAUCUGAUCUAAUCCGAUAUAAUCUAUCUUCGGAAGUAUCUAUUACCGGGGGAGAAGGGAAGGGCGAGAAGAGUGGGAGAGGAAAUCUGGUACACUUUGAGGAAUGGGUUGUCGAUUUUUAUCAACAAACGUGCGUUUCUGUCUAUCUAUACAUGCCCUAUCUACUAUUUGAUUAACGCCGGUGAUCGCGGGGGUUGUCUUCGGUUUUCUACUAACAAGAGUCAUCGACUGUACCACGCCCCGCAAGGUCCACUUAUCUUUUCUACGUACCGCAACAAACCUCGACUAAAUCGAACACAUUUUCGAAAAAAAAAACAUUAAUAAAAAAACGAGGGGUGGUUUUCCAAUUUGUUCCAUCCUUAUAAAUCCCUCCCUUACGCUUUCUCGUGGUCCGAUUAAUUUUUUUUUGCGGUAAUUCCAUGAAAUUAAAAUGAAAAAGAAGAGUAAAAAUGGGAACAAAUAAAAUGAACUGUCAAAGAUUUUAGUGAGCAGAAAGAAAGAGAAAAUUUUAAAGCCAAAAAAAAAAAAAAAAAAAUUCAAUCGCAAACGACGAGACUGAAUUAAUGUUUGGGCGGAUUAAAUAUUUCGGAAGGUAGACAAGUUAUGGGCGUAGCUGUCUUUAAGUUGAAUUCGUCUUUUAUACUUGUUUAAUCUUUUCAUCGUCGGAUAGACUUUACGUCGCUCUGACUUUAAGAAUAAAAAGCAGAACGAAAAUGGAACAAAAAAACUAAUAGAAGAAACAAACCAAACAAAUAAGACUUGCACAUCGCUCCGUACAAUUUCCAAAGUUGAAAUUCGUACGAAUGAUAAAAAUUAGGCUAAAUUAAUGAGAUUAAUUUAUACCACGGCACGCCUACCCUCGUCGUUUUAUAUCUUAUUUCGGCAAUAUCUGUGGUGGUCUCAUAUUCGUUUCCGCUAUCGAAUAAAAUUUCCGUAUAGUUUUAGUUUGUAGUAUUCUUUUCUUCGUUACGAUAAUAAAUUCUUGUCUCUUGAUUGAAUCAGAAAAUUAGUCGUCGCAAGACCAACGGGAGCAGCGGCGGCGCGAGCAGCGUAGCCGAAUAUAAGAAGCGCCGGCUAUACGAGCAGCGGCAUAAUACCGCGCGUAUAACGAGUGGACUGCAGCAAUAAAAGCUGUUAUUCCGUACAGAGCGAGCUACAGACUGGCCAAGGGAGGGAAAAAGUUCGCAUAAAAGUAAAUACCUAAUUAGGCCAUAAAAGAUUGCGAGCUGCUCAGUCAAAGUAUAACGGAAAAAGAGAGAGAAUACGGCGGGGUGAAGCAGGCCGAGUAAAAGGAAAGGGUCUUCCUUCGGAUGAAAACUGCGAGAGGAGUUUUGUCAUAUAUUUGUUUAUUUUAUUUUUUCCCGUCCUUUUUUUCACCAGUUUUCUCAUCUCUUUCCUCAUUCCAAUUCUUUACGUUACUUUAUUUUUUAUUUAUUCGCUCUUUUUUCCUAUUAUAUUUUUUUUUUUUCCAUUUGUCCAUGGCCCUCUUCUUCUCUCAAACAUGAGGAUCAGAGGGUUGGCGCACUCCUGAUGAAUAAUUAUUUUCUCCUUUUUUUUUUUCUGUAUCUCAAAAGUCAAAAAGUAUACGACGACGAUAAAAAAAAAGAAUAAUAAUCACAGCUCUGAUAAUAAUAAUAAUUGAAUGAAGAGGAUAGGAGAGCUUUUAUUCCGCGGUCACGCUGAGAUUUUCUAAAAGCAAUUUACGGUGUAGGUGGCAAUGCGAAUGGUGCGCGAUUCUGUCGCCCAAAUUGAGGCGAAUUGAUUAGAGGAUUUCGUCGGUGUUGCUGCUGCCGCUGCUCCUCAUUCUAUUUUAUUUUUUUCACCCACUUCACCCGCAGGAAAGGACAGCGAACCUUCCAUCGGGUGGAUGGUAUAACAUUUUCGCGAAGUUAUUCUCGCAGACAUUGCAUUGACUUUAAUUAAAGUGAAAGAAGAAAAAAGGUAAACGAAUAAUAUAAAAAUAAAAUAAUUCCACAGCUCGCUCAUCCGAUCUAAAAUUCACGAUGAAUUUAUCACUAAUUACUCUUCACUCCGGCACAGUCCCUCUCUCUUUCACCUUGGGAAUUAUUGUUCGUGGAAAAAGCACCUUCGAGAAUGGAAAAUUUUAGAUGAGAAUUAUUUUUGGGAGGACGAUGAUAUUACAAGGUACCAUGAAAGUUAUAUAUAUAUGUACAAUAUUUUACAUAAUGUACGGUACAUAAGUUUCCAAGUAUCGCGAGUUAAUACCCGAUUGAAUUUUCAAUCGCUCGAGAUGUUCUUAGGUAAAGUUUUUGAUAUUUUAGUGAGAAUAAUUACACACCAUGAUUUCGAUAAUUAAACCCGUUAAUAAAUUUAAAUAUAAUCAAUCAACGAGUAGGUCGAAACAAUUUUCGCUAGAAAUUAGUAUUACCUAUACGGUUAUGCAUAGGAAAUAAAUUUAACGCAAAUGGGGUUGCGCGGCGUAAACUGUUUCAAAAAGAACACGUUUAAUUUCAUUUUGCGCCAUUACAGCCUCGAUAACGCAACGCGGUACGACGCAUGAUUAUCAAAUUUAGGUUGAGUUGGUAUUUCGGUGUACCCUACCUACCCAAAUACGUACGUAAGAAGCACCCGGCGGAUGACGAGCUAGGGGUUGGAAAUAUUCAAAGGACUCGAGGCUGCGCGUACAGCGGGGUACCUAAUAAGUAGAAGUACAUACCUAACCGACGCAUCUGUGUUUCCCCGUCCUCGUGUUUACAAUAAUAUUGUUUUUGCCCAAGGGCAUCUCGUUACAUCAUAUCUAGACUUUAACCGUAGGUAUAUCGCAGCCCUGCAGGGUUCUUCCCUCCCUUACCAGAAAUUCAUCUUCAAGAGAAACGCGACAAGAUAUUGCCAACCGAAUAAUACGAAGACACGAACACCUUCGGUAUUUGUUUAGUUUUUAGCUUGUUUGCGAACAAACAAGAAAAAAUGAUGAUAAAAAAAUCUGUUCGAGAGAGAUUCGGACCCGUUAAUGUAUAAAAGUACUUUUUAAUCCCUCGCCAUCGUCCCUUCCUGCUGCCACUUUUUAUUUUAUGCUUACGUACGCACGUCUCGUUGCGUAUUUUCUUCACGAUCUUCGGUCGCGUGAACAUAAAAAGUAUUCUCACGUACUAACCGAGCCCGAGGUAAAAAAAUAAAAUAAAAAAAAGAAAUUUUCAAUCCGCAAAUACCAGACCGAAAAUCGACCUACGACCUUACACCAAGGGGCAGACGUAUACGAUCGGGAAAACCGCGAAACAGAAGAUCGCAAUGAUUUAUAGAAAUACUUUUUUUUUUAAUAUUUUUCAAAAGGAGUCAUUCCGUGGAAAUGAAAAUUUAAUUUAUCGACUGUUUUAUCGGUGAAAAGUUUAUGAAUUUUCAAUAUUAUUUGCGCACCCCUUACUCAGAUACCUGUAACAAAUGAUAUACCGCGGUAAGGGUUAAAUCGCUUAGCGGGGUUCUGGUAUAUAUCUAUAUAGAAAUGUUCUUAUCUUUUUGUAAUUUAGGAAAGUCGCGCAGCAGCGGCAGCAGCAAUUAGUAUGAGAUAUACAUCGGUAGGGAAGUGGGGGACUAAGAAUUAGGGGAAGUCGCGGCGGUCUCGCAGUCUCGAGUUUCCCUUUAAAACUGACUUUUUUCAACUUUUGUCUAGGGGGAAAAACUAGGAGAAAAAACAACGUCUCUUCUUCCGUAUCCUAGAGAAAAUUUCUUCCUGUGGAUAUAAGCACCGAUAAGCAUAAAUUGCGCGGGGGAGCAAAAAAAAGUGGGAGGGUGGUGGUAUUUAUGCGAAUUUUAUUUGAAUUUUAUCUAAAACCAAAGAAAAGUUGAAAAGAAAAGCCCUCCAAAGAAAAAAAAAAAGAGGAGAAACGGAAACAUAUAGAGGGGGAUGGGGGGUCGCAAUAGCUGGGGGCUGCUUGUUAGUAUCUUCAAAGAGGAAUAAUAAAGUCGAAUAAUAUGGUCUAAUUACGCCCGACGGCUACAGGCUUAUAUUGAGAGGUGACUAUACUCGCAGUUCGCUCUUAUCUUGUAGGUGUCUUUUAAAUAAAACCAUCCCACCCCACGUUAUUAUAAUCGACGUUCGUUGAAGAAAACCGAGUUCUUCGAAACGCCAAAGAAAUUGGAAACUUCGCUCUUACACGGCAAUUAUAAAAAUAUAACAUCAUUCAACUUACAUCUGGAAGCUCGUCUCUUGUUUGUUUUUCAGUUUUACGUUGCACGUCAUCCCGUACAAUGCAGACGCGGCAAUAAAAUGCACGUAGCGUCCGACGAGAUUUUCCUUUGGAAAUUUUUAGCGACUUUCAGUUACAUGGAGAAUAAACGGUGCGGGAAUGAUAUGCCACUGUCUCGCGAGUUCGCACUUCGUUCCCGUAGUUUGUCUUUUUUCCCUUCUCUUUUUCUCCCUUUCUCUUUUUCCCUCUAUUCGACGAGCGUAGAGGGUAGAAAAUUUUCUCAAACGACACGAAGUGUGGAAUUCUUUUUUUUCAAACCUUUUUUUUUUCUCGAUAAUUUUGUGCAGCGCAUUUUGAACGACGCAAAGAAAAAUCUCCGACCUGGAACAGAACGCGGUUUUUCCCCUCCCCCUUGAUCCCGUCGAUUUUACGGCGUUCUAUGUCUGACCUACCGGCGCCAGUCGCAAAUCUGUGGCGAACGUGAAAAUUCGUGAAAUAUAAUUAUCCGGUUAUACCGGUUUCGGUGGAGUAAAAUACAUCGACGUAGUUCAGGUAUAUUGUAGGCGUACAGGUGCGAAUAGAAAUCCUUCUCACUCAGAAUUAAAUGAUAACGUAAGGGCGCUUGGAAUAUUUUAUAAAAGAUAAGUUGUUUCUGGAGGGUGUAUAUUUUAGGGUGAGAUUGUCUGCCUUGUCUCCGCGGCGUUAUAAAUUAAAAUUACCUUCAAACAAAUUACUGAAAAAUUUAAAUGAAAAACAUCCACCGUGAAAACAGUUUUAAUUUACAAAACCGUUUUUCAUAUUCAUUCCUACGUACGUUCAUUCAAGAAUGGGAUAAUGUCUCUUCGAAUUUUUCUACUCUAAUUUUUUUCUUUUUCUAGAAAAAAAAUUCUGAGACGCGUUUCGAGGGUGGUAAUUUCGGUCUGCCGCGGGAAGCACUUUAAAAUACAUGUAUGUACUCGUAUUAUGUAAAUAUUAAAACAUACAUUAUGCAUUACAUGUUCAUGUUUUCCUUACUAUCUUCCCCAUUUUUAUCAUCAUUUCUUAUGCUUCUCCUAUCUUAUUUUAUUUUUUUCUUUUAAUAUCGUUGCGGCGUUUCCGUCCUCUUUAUCUAUCUGCGUCGCGCGUCGGUAUGAAAAUACUAUUUUCUCUAUCCCGAGAUUCGGAGAAGCAUUUGGGAAACUGCGUUUCAGACUUGUCUCUUCUGCUUUUCAAGAAUCUCUAGCUGCUGCCGCUGCUUCUGUUACCUCGCACGGAUUGGUACGCCAUUUGUUCGUAUCAGUUACGCUCCGAUACUUUCACCGGAAGCUAAAAGCU
This is a long non-coding RNA of Athalia rosae (coleseed sawfly), 7178 nucleotides long. RefSeq lists it as uncharacterized. The record is from RefSeq and is a predicted model, not a curated record. NCBI's taxonomy places the organism in Eukaryota, Metazoa, Arthropoda, Insecta, Hymenoptera, Athaliidae. The transcript has 4 exons.